GAUGAACGCUAGCUACAGGCUUAACACAUGCAAGUCGAGGGGUAGCACGGAAGAAGCUUGCUUCUUUGGGUGACGACCGGCGCACGGGUGAGUAACGCGUAUCCGACCUACCCAUAACUCGGGCACAGCCGCUCGAAAGAGUGAUUGAUUCCCGAUAUGUCCUUGGAGUAGAUUCAAUGAUGAAAGAUUCAUCGGUUAUGGAUGGGGAUGCGUAAGAUUAGGUAGUAGGCGGGGUAACGGCCCACCUAGCCGACGAUCUUUAGGGGUUCUGAGAGGAAGGUCCCCCCACACUGGUACUGAGACACGGACCAGACUCCUACGGGAGGCAGCAGUGAGGAAUAUUGGUCAAUGGGCGAAGCCUGAACCAGCCAAGUAGCGUGAAGGAUGAAGGUUCUAUGGAUUGUAAACUUCUUUUAUACGGGAAUAACACCAUCUACGUGUAGAUGUCUGCAUGUACCGUAUGAAUAAGCAUCGGCUAACUCCGUGCCAGCA
RNAcentral lists this ribosomal RNA (492 nucleotides) under uncultured bacterium. RNAcentral describes it as "bacterial SSU rRNA". It matches the Rfam family "Bacterial small subunit ribosomal RNA", at positions 28 to 513 of the family's 1533-position model. The record is from RNAcentral.